This 387-nucleotide ribosomal RNA is filed under the name uncultured bacterium. RNAcentral's name for it is "bacterial SSU rRNA". It matches the Rfam family "Bacterial small subunit ribosomal RNA", at positions 28 to 417 of the family's 1533-position model. The record is from RNAcentral.
GACGAACGCUGGCGGCGUGCUUAACACAUGCAAGUCGAGCGGUAAGGCCCUUUCGGGGGUACACGAGCGGCGAACGGGUGAGUAACACGUGGGUGACCUGCCCUCAGCUCUGGGAUAAGCCUGGGAAACUGGGUCUAAUACUGGAUAUGACUCCACGGUGCAUGUCGUGGGGUGGAAAGCCUUGUGCGGCUGAGGAUGGGCCCGCGGCCUAUCAGCUUGUUGGUGGGGUGANGGCCUACCAAGGCGACGACGGGUAGCCGGCCUGAGAGGGCGACCGGCCACACUGGGACUGAGACACGGCCAGACUCCUACGGGAGGCAGCAGUGGGGAAUCUUGCGCAAUGGGCGAAAGCCUGACGCAGCGACGCCGCGUGAGGGAUGACGGCCU